GUUGAAUGAAGUGAAAUUUAGGCAAAUUAUUAUAUUACCUAAAGGAAUCUUUAAAGAAGAAUCUCAGAUAUGAAAGUGUGCCUUUGGGUAUUAGGACAUAAAGAGGUUAUUCACGAAUCAACCAUUUCUUAAAUAACUUUGUGCCAGGAAAAAAAAAAAGAUCACCCUUCCCCCACAAAGCAAAAAUUUUCCUGCAAAAGAUGAAUUCUUAAAUUUUUUUCACCAGAAAAUAUCCCCCCACCUCCUGCUUCUUUGUAUACUUUUUUUUCCUGCCAUUUCAAAAUAAUAAUGUUAGUGGCUUAAAGGGCACCAGGAUUUUAAUCUCUUCUGGUACAACAAAAGCAUGGAUUGUAGAGCAUAUUUAUGAUAGGCAAGGUUAGCUGAGUCAAAUCUCUCAGGCUCUCUAAUCCUCCAUCCCAAGUCAAGGGUUUAUCUUGCAGAAACUGUGCACCUCUAAUAACUAUGUCUGUUAAAACUGGACUUCAAUCCAUCUCUUGACUUAUGGACAUAACCAUUUCUUACAGUCACAGGAAUCUUAACGCAGUGUUUCUUUGGGCUCUGUUUUAUAGGUUACUUCCUAAACAUCCCUAGAAAUCACCCCUUCAAUCUGAAUUGCCUUCAUGGGACUUGAGGGUAAGAGGAAUUGAUGCGAGCAUGCUGACUCAUGCUGCUUAUUUCCUGAGUAAUAACAUCCUUUGUUUCUGACCCAGGAGUUCUGUCUUCCCUCAGCAAUGGCACCCUGACUUGUUAAUUGGCAAGUAGUAAAAUCUCAGAACGUUCACAGAUACUGACAUCUGUCAAAAUGUCAGAAAAUAAUACAAAGGCAUCGGGAAUCAUGAGAAGACCAUUAGCGCGCAGAGAACAUUUGUCCCAUCCACCUGUGGAGUCUGUGGAUCUGGAGAAAGCUACAUGGACUGCAGGAAAUCUGCACACUCAUCUCCCCCUUUCAACAAAUGACAUGUGUACUCCUUCCUGCUGCUGGUCCACUUCCAUAUUCACAGCUGGACUCAUGUCAUAA
Molecule: long non-coding RNA, 1018 nt
Filed under: Bos grunniens (domestic yak)
Lineage: Eukaryota; Metazoa; Chordata; Mammalia; Artiodactyla; Bovidae
Description: lncRNA (ENSBGRG00000018672.1)
Source: RNAcentral